Molecule: ribosomal RNA, 407 nt
Filed under: Psammodromus algirus
Lineage: Eukaryota; Metazoa; Chordata; Lepidosauria; Squamata; Lacertidae
Description: partial 16S ribosomal RNA
Rfam family: Bacterial large subunit ribosomal RNA
Source: RNAcentral
CCCCUAAAUAGGGACUGGAAUGAACGGCUACAUGAAGACUUUACUGUCUCUUGCUGCUAGUCAAUGAAACUGAUCUCCCAGUACAAAAGCUGGAAUAAUCUCACAAGACAAAAAGACCCUGUGGAGCUUUUAAACCAAGUACACCAAAAUGUUCUAUCACGGUUUUUAGUUGGGGCGACUUCGGAACAAAAUAAAACUUCCGAAACCAUGGAAUCAUACCCAUAUCUAAGGCCAACACGCCAAGAUGAAUCAUCUACUUGACCCAGUUUACCACAUACUGAUCAAUGAACCAAGUUACCCCAGGGAUAACAGCGCCAUCUUCUUUUAGAGUCCAUAUCGACAAGAAGGUUUACGACCUCGAUGUUGGAUCAGGACACCCAAAUAGUGCAGCCGCUAUUAAAGGUUCG